This 926-nucleotide unclassified non-coding RNA is filed under the name Hevea brasiliensis (rubber tree). Lineage: Eukaryota; Viridiplantae; Streptophyta; Magnoliopsida; Malpighiales; Euphorbiaceae. The record is from RNAcentral.
AUACCUACAUGAUACAAACCAUCUUCAAUUAUACAGCUCAAUUCAUUUAGCUUUGACACAACAUCCUAUUGUUAUAACACUUCAUACAAUAUUAACAAAACUGUGCAAAAUAAUUGAGACCAAAACCCUAAUUCUCAAUGCCGAAGUCCCAAAAUUGAAAGUCAAAAGCCAUCAGACAAUAACACUUGAAACAUUAGAACAAUGUACAAUUAAGGAACAUAAACAAUUCAGGACACCACAAGUUUCCAGCCGUCGAGUCAAGCAAAAGAUGCUGAUCUGUUCAAUAAAUCCUGAUUUAUCUUUGACGUUGGAAUCGCAUUGUAAGGAGACACAUUAAUCAGUUGAAUGCUACCUGAUUUGUAUCACCGUAUGCUCGCAUCUUAGUCAAUCAUUUUUAUUUGAUGAUUAGCCCAUAAUUCAGAAAAGUCUUUGACAACCAUAUCAAGCUUUAUCACACAUUCUUAUAUAUAAAAAAAAAUCUCAAGAUGAACUGCAAAAGAAAUAUUUACUCCAGAUUCAAAAUGCCGUCGUUUAUGUCAAAAACAAACUGUAAACAUUUUGAAGACACCAUCAGCUCAAUUUCCUCCUAAUUGAGAUAUUAAAAGACAAAGGUUAGGUAUAUACAAAGACCAAUGCAGUUGCUUGUGAAAUUGCACCAGCAAACUCUAUCUAUAUAUGAUAGAAAUUAAAUCAAGCUUUGAUUUGGUAGGAUAAUGGGGCGGCCAUGUGGGGGAUUACAUAUGGAAAUUGGGUUAACUAUUUUCUGCAGGACUCAACAUUGCAAAUUCAGCAGGAGUACACUCUGAUUUAGGCCCUGUUUGGGGUAGGGAGACUAAAAAAAUGCUUUUAGAAAAACACCAUUGAGAUGCUGUUGAAAAAGUCGAUUAGUUGUUUUGAAGUUCUUAUGACUAAAAUAUGUCAAAUUU